Molecule: RNA transcript, 3393 nt
Organism: Vidua chalybeata
Lineage: Eukaryota; Metazoa; Chordata; Aves; Passeriformes; Viduidae
Gene: WEE2
Gene name: WEE2 oocyte meiosis inhibiting kinase
Exons: 13
Source: RefSeq, a predicted model, not a curated record
GCCGGGGCAGCCGCGCCGGGGAGCGGCCGGAGCCGCCCGGAGCAGCCGGCGGAGGUCCCGGCUCGGAGCUCUCCGGUGCCGGCUCCUGGAGGGGCGGCUGGGGACAGUCCGCCUGCCCGUGCUUCACCUCCUGGCGCAGGGCAGAGCCAGCUGCCCGCCUUCUGUCUCCCCCAGGCUGUGACAGCAGUGCCGAGCAGCCGCUUCCCCCAGCCCCGUUAAAGCCAUCCUGCUGGGAAAGCCACGGGAAUUGGGCAGAGCAACGGGGGCAGACUCGCACCUCCUCAAAUGGCUGUGGUGGAAGCUGCGAACCACAAAUCUGAAAGAGUCAGGGACACCGAUCCAGUAUAUACUGGUAUACUGGCCAGUAUCAGCUCUAUCUAUUCUGUUUCAUGUGCUAACAUGGAUGACUGGGACAACAACAACGAAUUCAUUCAGCGACUGGACUUUUCCAGCUGUGGUGAAGAGAGUGAAGAAAGAAGCGUCAAUGAGGAGGAUUCCCUGAGCUUGAGCCCCCCAAGAAGCUCAGAGUUCCAGAAAUGGCAAGAGAGCAGUCCUUUGCCAGCAACCCCUCAGAGAAAGCUUAGUGAGAUUUUCCUGAGCAGAACAAAAGCUUGGAUGAGUCCCACCCUGAAGUCUUCCCCAUCUGUGAGCAAGAGCUGGAGUAAACCUGAGACACCACUGCACAUCACCUGGAAAAAGCUGCAGCUUUGUGACACCCCACACACUCCUAAGAGCUUGUUAUCGAAGACAGCUUUUCCUUCCUCUGCAACAAAGGUCCCAGCCAAAGGCCUCCGACAUCUGAGACUCACUCCUCGUGCUGACUCUGAUGACUCUUCCCAAGCUUCCCUUGUCAACAUUAAUCCCUUUACACCAGAGUCCUAUCGACAAAUGCUCUUUCAUCCUAAUGGCAAACGGAAGGCUGGAGGAGAGCUGAAUGAUCCUCAUACAGGAAGCCGGAUAAAACAGGAGCAACCUACAAAGAGAUAUACUCUGAAAGCCAGCAAUAUGGUUUCCCGCUACAAGAAGGAGUUCCUGGAGCUAGAGAAAAUUGGUGUGGGGGAAUUUGGCUCUGUCUACAAGUGCAUCAAACGCCUUGAUGGAUGUGUUUAUGCCAUCAAACGCUCCAAAAGGCCUCUGGCAGGAUCCUCAGAUGAGCAGCUGGCACUACGAGAGGUUUAUGCUCACGCUGUCCUGGGGCACCACCCCCACGUUGUGCGCUACUACUCGGCCUGGGCAGAGGACGAUCACAUGAUUAUCCAGAAUGAACACUGCAAUGGUGGAAGUCUCCAAGAUGCGCUGCUGGAAAAUGCAAAGCUUGGGCAGUAUUUCCCAGAAGCAGAGCUGAAGGAAAUAUUGCUGCAAGUCUCCAUGGGACUAAAAUACAUCCACAACUCUGGCCUUGUGCACCUGGAUAUCAAACCUAGUAAUAUCUUCAUCUGUCACAAGCUGGCAGUUUCAGGCCCUGCUGGGCAGGAGGAGAGUGACAGUGAAGAUGAAUUCUCUCCUGGUGUGGUGUAUAAGAUUGGUGACCUUGGACAUGUGACAUCAAUAACAAACCCUCAGGUGGAGGAAGGAGACAGACGCUUUUUGGCCAAUGAGGUUUUGCAAGAGCAAUACUGCUACUUGCCCAAGGCAGACAUCUUUGCCCUGGCACUCACGGUGGCUCUGGCAGCUGGGACAGCACCGCUGCCUCACAAUGGGGUCCUGUGGCACCACAUCCGCAAAGGCAACCUCCCACCCAUCCCCCAGAAGCUUCCCCACCGUUUUCUUGAGCUCCUUAAGCUCAUGAUCCAUCCUGACCCAGCACAAAGACCUUCUGCCACGGCUCUCACCAAACACCCUGUUCUCCGUCCUUCGUGUGGAAAAGCUGUGCAGCUCCAGGAGCAGCUAAAUAUGGAGAAAUGCAAGACUGCCAUGCUGGAAAGGGAACUUAAAGCAGCUCGCCUUGCCCAGACCCUCAUGAAGGACCAAGCCUUAGGAAGUGCCAAGUUACAAGAGUCUGAAACCUCUUCUAAGCAGAAGAGCAAGCGUCUGGUGGGAGGGAAGAGCUGUCGCUCGUUUAGCUUUACUCUGGGUUUCUGAAUUUGUGUUAUCCAAAGACUGCUGAAUGGCCCUGUGAAAGCAGAGGGUCUGCACAGACCAAUGCCCCAUAUUCUCUCCCUGUCUUUUUUUUUUUUUUUUUGUUCCCCUGUUAGUUAUGAUGAGAUGUUGGCUGAGAAAAGAAUGACUGGCUUUCAAGUGUUGGAUAAUGGUAUUUAAGGUUGUCUUCAGUCUUUUACCUGUUUAAUUUAUUGUGUAAUUGGCUUUGCUAUAGACUCAGUGUAACUCUGCCAUGACAAAAGAAUGACAUUUUCAUUCUCACUUCCCUCUUUCUUUAGUUGGGCCCUGUUAUUGGUGAUUUUGUGGUCUUAAACACUUGGGCUGACUGUAUCUUUAGAGGGAUGAUAAUGGCUGUACAGGCAGACAACAUCUACAGCUGGCCCCUUCUAGGAGCCAGUUUUAGCUACACAUCAGGAGCCAGGCUGGUUACACAGCUGUCCUGGGGGGCUCAGGAUGCAGCUGGAGUGGUGUUUAACUGAGGGGGGACACAGAGUAAUAGGAAAUACUUCGAGUUAAGGAGUGGGAGUUGAAGAAAACAUUUUUUCAUAUUUCAGCAACAAAAGUUUUCUAACUGGGUGUGCUCUAACAGACUCGUUAGUCCCUGAUGCCCGACUCAUUUUCUGUCAGUCGGGGAGGACUCCUUGUUUAUGUGGGGGAGACAACUGCAGUGUGUUGGUGCUGGGUCUGUCUGUACCCAUUUCCCCUCCAGUAUCUUGCACGUGGUGCAGCUGCCUGCCUAUGAACUGCAGCCUUUCAGCAAAGAUGAGGGCAAUGAGAAAGGGCUUUUUCAGCUUUUUGGAGUUGCCCGUGUUAACGGUGGUAUGUAUUUCGUAUUUGAAAUCUCAUACAUCCUUCCCCCUCCCCCCGCUAAAUGUAACUUUGGGGGUCCUUGUCGUUUGUUUGUGUUGUUGGACAGAGCACCGCCUUGUUACGACGGAGACCGCUUGCUCACUCGCUUAUUUCCAGGUUUUACUGGUUGGUUUUAUGAUGUUGCACGUGCUGGCUUUUAACUGUUAGAUCCUAUCGUUUCGUGCGAAUAAAAGUUUUAUCAUUUUUUAAACCGAUGACGGAGUGAUGGAGUUCUGUUGGCCAUUUUUGUCCCUCCGCGAGCUCUGUGACCCCCGUGGGCUCGGGGCUCGGGCUAUGCGGGGUGCAGGCGGGGCCCGGGCGCGUUUCCGCCCGGAACCUCCGCCCGGCCCUUUCCUCUUCCGGCCGGCCGCGGGCGCAGCGCGGCGGCGGGAGAGGUGCUACGCCAGUUUGUAAGACAUGACUCUGAUACGGUUAACUCAUUGG